This 400-nucleotide long non-coding RNA is filed under the name Geospiza fortis (medium ground-finch). RNAcentral's name for it is "lncRNA (ENSGFOG00000001960.1)". The record is from RNAcentral. Lineage: Eukaryota; Metazoa; Chordata; Aves; Passeriformes; Thraupidae.
UUUUUAAAAUUCAUAAAACUAUAAUGGUAUAACUAAUAUGUUUCUGUCUACAGAGCCUUUAGACAACAUAUUUUUUAUCAUUAAGUGAUGUUAUUUUUUUUUAAGUGACUGAAGUUCCUAAAAAACCUGUGCCUGAGCGAAAACCACCAGCCAUUAUAGCUGAAAAGAAGGAAAAGAAGGAAGUAACAGUUCAAAAAGUUGUCAAGAAACCUGUCGAUGAAAAAGUGGAGGUAACCACUCAGAGGGUUGCAGAAGAAAAAGUCAAAAGGGCUGAGGUUACCAAGAAAGUUCUGCCACCAAAACCUACACCAGUGGUCGUUGAGGAAAAAGUUAUGAAAAAGGAAGUACCAACCGUAGAAACAUGGACUGUUUCAGAAGAAAAGAUGUCAGUUUCUGUCCA